UUCCGGUUGAUCCUGCCGGACCUGACUGCUAUCGGAUUGAUACUAAGCCAUGCGAGUCUUUGUAGUAAUACAAGGCAGACGGCUCAGUAACACGUAGUCAACCUACCCUAUGGACGAGAAUAAUCUCGGGAAACUGAGCAUAAUUCUCGAUAGAUCAUAAUGCCUGGAAUGGUUUAUGGUUAAAAUGAUUCGUCGCCAUAGGAUGGGACUGCGGCCUAUCAGCUUGUUGGUGAGGUAAUGGCCCACCAAGGCGAUUACAGGUACGGGCUCUGAGAGGAGAAGCCCGGAGAUGGGUACUGAGACACGGACCCAGGCCCUAUGGGGCGCAGCAGGCGAGAAAACUUUGCAAUGUGCGAAAGCACGACAAGGUUAAUCCGAGUGAUUUCUGCUAAAGAAAUCUUUUGCCAGUCAUAAAACCACUGGUGAAUAAGGGGUGGGCAAGUUCUGGUGUCAGCCGCCGCGGUAAAACCAGCACCUCAAGUGGUCAGGAUGAUUAUUGGGCCUAAAGCAUCCGUAGCCGGCUUUGUUAGUUUUCGGUUAAAUCCAUGUGCUCAACGCAUGGGCUGCCGAAAAUACUGCAUGGCUAGGGAGUGGGAGAGGUAGACGGUACUCAGUAGGAAGGGGUAAAAUCCUUUGAUCUAUUGAUGACCACCUGUGGCGAAGGCGGUCUACCAGAACACGUUCGACGGUGAGGGAUGAAAGCUGGGGGAGCAAACCGGAUUAGAUACCCGGGUAGUCCCAGCUGUAAACGAUGCAGACUCGAUGAUGCAUUGGCAUAAUAGCCAGUGCAGUGUCGCAGGGAAGCCGUUAAGUCUGCCGCCUGGGAAGUACGUACGCAAGUAUGAAACUUAAAGGAAUUGGCGGGGGAGCACCACAAGGGGUGAAGCCUGCGGUUCAAUUGGAGUCAACGCCGGA
This 915-nucleotide ribosomal RNA is filed under the name unidentified hydrothermal vent archaeon PVA_OTU_4. RNAcentral's name for it is "SSU rRNA". It matches the Rfam family "Archaeal small subunit ribosomal RNA", at positions 1 to 922 of the family's 1478-position model. Lineage: Archaea; Thermoproteati; Thermoproteota. The record is from RNAcentral.